This 363-nucleotide transfer-messenger RNA is filed under the name Sutterella wadsworthensis. It matches the Rfam family "transfer-messenger RNA". Rfam says of the family: Bacterial tmRNA, also known as 10Sa RNA or SsrA, is named for its dual tRNA and mRNA-like properties. Its role is to liberate the mRNA from a stalled ribosome. RNAcentral also lists the same sequence under 2 other names. The record is from RNAcentral. Lineage: Bacteria; Pseudomonadati; Pseudomonadota; Betaproteobacteria; Burkholderiales; Sutterellaceae.
GGGGGCGCCUUGGUUUCGACGAGGAUACUGACGCUGUCCGGUGCAUGCCGAGGUGCAGUCACCUCGUAAAUCCGCUGCAAUCAAUUAAACGCCAACAACAAGCGUUUCGCUCUCGCGGCUUAAUCCCGCGGGAUGCUGCACUGAUUUGACUUUGGGUCAGGCAGGGCAACCUGCUGCAGCAUCAAAUUACAAAGCCUAGGUUCGCCGGCUGUCGUCGACGGCGUUCCGAAACUUAGAUGACUGGGCAGCCGCUGGCCCGCCGAUUGGCAAAACGGCUGUCGAGAUCCAAAUCAUUCGGCUACGCAUGUAGAUCCGCCAGAAAACGAUUUUCGGACGCGGGUUCAACUCCCGCCGCCUCCACCA